RNAcentral lists this transfer RNA (67 nucleotides) under Macrobrachium equidens. Its description in RNAcentral is "tRNA-Ile". Lineage: Eukaryota; Metazoa; Arthropoda; Malacostraca; Decapoda; Palaemonidae. The record is from RNAcentral. RNAcentral also lists the same sequence under 1 other name.
AAUAGCAUGCUUGAUAAAAAGGUCGUCUUGAUAGGGCGAAUAAUGAAAGUCCACCUUUCUGCUAUUA